CGGUAUGCUUAACACAUGCAAGUUGAACGGAUCUAAGGCAACUUAGGUUAGUAACGGACGGGUGAGUAACAUGUAAGAAUCUGCGCUUAGGUGGGGGAUAACAGUUGGAAACGCCUGCUAAUACCCCAUACAGCUAUUAAGUGAAAGAAUUUUCGCCUAAGCAUGAGCUUGCAUCUGAUUAGUUAGUUGGUAGGGUAAAAGCUUACCAAGACUUUGAUCAGUAGCUGGUUUGAGAGGAUGAUCAGCCACACGGGGAUUGAGAACGGAACCGACUCUUACGGGAGGCAGCAGUGAGGAAUUUUCCGCAAUGGGUGAAAGCCUGACGGAGCAAUACCGCGUGAAGGAUGACGGCCUUAGGGUUGUAAACUUCUUUUCUCAUUGAAGAAUAUAUGACGGUAUUUGAGGAAUAAGCACUGGCUAAUUUCGUGCCAGCAGCCGCGGUAAUACGAGAAGUGCAAGCGUUUUCCGAUGUUAUUGGGCGUAAAGAGUUUGUAGGUUGCCUUGUGUGUUUAACGUUAAAUGUUAGAGCUUAACUCUAGAAUCGCGUUGAAUACUACUAGGCUUGAGUAUGAUAGAGGCAAAGGGAAUUUCCAGUGUAGCGGUGAAAUGCGUAGAUAUUGGGAAGAACACCAACGGCGAAAGCACUUUGCUAGGUUAAUACUGACACUGAGAAACGAAAGCUAAGGUAGCAAAACGGAUUAGACACCCGUGUAGUCUUAGCUGUAAACUAUGGAUACUAAGUGGUGCACAAGUACUGCUGAAGCUAACGCGUUAAGUAUCCCGCCUGGGGAGUACGCUUGCAAAAGUGAAACUCAAAGGAAUUGACGGGGGCCCGCACAAGCGGUGGAGCAUGUGGUUUAAUUCGAUGGUACACGAAGAACCUUACCAGGGUUUGACAUGCUAGGAAGCUUUCUGAAAAGAAGGCGUAUCUUCGGAAACCUAGACACAGGUGGUGCAUGGCUGUCGUCAGCUCGUGUUGUGAGAUGUUAGGUUAAGUCCGUCAACGAGCGCAACCCUCUUUUUUAGUUUUAUCUAAAAAUACUGCCGACUAUAAGUCGGAGGAAGGUGGGGAUAACGUCAAGUCCUCACGCCCCUUAUAUCCUGGGCUACACACGUGCUACAUGGUUAAGACAACGAGUCGCAAGCUUGUGAAAGUAAGCAAAUCUCUUAAACUUAACCUUAGUUCGGAUUGUAGGCUGCAACUCGCCUACAUGAAGCUGGAAUCGCUAGUAAUCGCCGGUCAGCUAUACGGCGGUGAAUACGUUCUCGGGCCUUGUACACACCGCCCGUCACACCAUGGGAGCUGGUCAUGCCUAAUGUCGUUAUCUUAACCGUGAGGAGAGAAAUGCCUAAGGCCGGGUUGGUGACUGGGGUGAAGUCGUAACAAGGUA
RNAcentral lists this ribosomal RNA (1391 nucleotides) under Euglena granulata. RNAcentral's name for it is "bacterial SSU rRNA". It matches the Rfam family "Bacterial small subunit ribosomal RNA". The record is from RNAcentral. Lineage: Eukaryota; Euglenozoa; Euglenophyceae; Euglenales; Euglenaceae.